Molecule: ribosomal RNA, 523 nt
Filed under: Pinctada maculata
Lineage: Eukaryota; Metazoa; Mollusca; Bivalvia; Pterioida; Pteriidae
Description: partial 16S rRNA
Rfam family: Bacterial large subunit ribosomal RNA
Source: RNAcentral
CGCCUGGUUGAUUAAAAACAUUGCUGCAUGGAUGAAUGUGCGGUAAGUACUGCCCGGUGCCCUUAGGGUAAACGGCGGCGUAAAGUUUUAAAGUAGCGAAAUACCUAGCCCUUUAAUUGGGGGCGUGCAUGAAUGUAUUUACGUGGGAGAAACUGUCUCUUUUGCGUAGUCUUAAAUUGAACUCCAAGUGAAGUUGCUUGGGUGCUCUCAAAAGACGAGAAGACCCCGGCAGUUUUACUUAAGGAAAAAGAGAUUUUUGUGAUAGAUUGGCUGGGGCAGCAGGAGAAUAAGAAAACCUUCUCUCCUUCAAAGUGCAGAUGAAGAACGACGGUUUAAGAGCUAGCAAGGCUAAUCAAGGGGGCGAGUUACGCCGGGGGUAACAGGACGGUCUUAAAGUGGAGCACAUAUCGGCUUUAGGGUACGUUACAUCGAUGUUGAAUCAGGGGUACGCUUGGGUUGCAGAAGCUCAGGUUAAAGGGUCUGUUCGACCUUUAGAGCCCUACGUGAUCUGAGUUCAAACCGG